RNAcentral lists this ribosomal RNA (577 nucleotides) under uncultured bacterium. RNAcentral describes it as "partial 16S ribosomal RNA". It matches the Rfam family "Bacterial small subunit ribosomal RNA", at positions 355 to 923 of the family's 1533-position model. The record is from RNAcentral.
UGGGGAAUAUUGCACAAUGGGCGAAAGCCUGAUGCAGCGACGCCGCGUGAGGGAUGACGGCCUUCGGGUUGUAAAGCACUUUUGUCCGGAAAGAAAUCCUUGGCUCUAAUACAGUCGGGGGAUGACGGUACCGGAAGAAUAAGCACCGGCUAACUACGUGCCAGCAGCCGCGGUAAUACGUAGGGUGCAAGCGUUAAUCGGAAUUACUGGGCGUAAAGCGUGCGCAGGCGGUUUGCUAAGACCGAUGUGAAAUCCCCGGGCUCAACCUGGGAACUGCGUUGGUGACUGGCAGGCUAGAGUAUGGCAGAGGGGGGUAGAAUUCCACGUGUAGCAGUGAAAUGCGUAGAGAUGUGGAGGAAUACCGAUGGCGAAGGCAGCCCCCUGGGCCAAUACUGACGCUCAUGCACGAAAGCGUGGGGAGCAAACAGGAUUAGAUACCCCUGGUAGUCCACGCCCUAAACGAUGUCAACUAGUUGUUGGGGGAUUCAUUUCCUUAGUAACGUAGCUAACGCGUGAAGUUGACCGCCUGGGGGGUACGGUCGCAAGAUUAAAACUUAAAUGAAUUGACGGGGGUCAU